UGGUGGAGUGAUUUGUCUGGUUAAUUCCGUUAACGAACGAGACCUUAGCCUACUAACUAGUCGAUUCAAUCUUUAUUGUUUCUGACUUCUUAGAGGGACUUUGUGAAUCAAUCACAAGGAAGUUUGAGGCAAUAACA
RNAcentral lists this ribosomal RNA (137 nucleotides) under uncultured eukaryote. Its description in RNAcentral is "partial 18S ribosomal RNA". It matches the Rfam family "Eukaryotic small subunit ribosomal RNA", at positions 1299 to 1458 of the family's 1831-position model. The record is from RNAcentral.